UACGUAGGUGGCAAGCGUUGUCCGGAUUUACUGGGCGUAAAGAGCGCGCAGGCGGUCGCUCAAGUCGCGUGUGAAAGCCCCCGGCUCAACUGGGGAGGGUCACGCGAUACUGAUCGACUGGAAGGCAGGAGAGGGUAGUGGAAUUCCCGGUGUAGUGGUGAAAUGCGUAGAUAUCGGGAGGAACACCAGUGGCGAAGGCGACUCGCUGGACAAGUAUUGACGCUGAGGUGCGAAAGCGUGGGGAGCAAACAGG
This 253-nucleotide ribosomal RNA is filed under the name uncultured bacterium. Its description in RNAcentral is "partial 16S ribosomal RNA". It matches the Rfam family "Bacterial small subunit ribosomal RNA", at positions 524 to 776 of the family's 1533-position model. The record is from RNAcentral.